CUCUCUCUCUUUCCUCCAUACUUCCUCUUACUCUUCUGCUCUUCAUUCCUCUACACCUUCUCUCAUUUCUUCAACUUCAAGUCCAUCAUCCUAUGAGCUUUUCCUCGUCAUAUCUGGUAUAAUUCUCUUUGUAAUGGUCACCUUUAUCAUCUCACAAUACUUAUACUUUGCUGUCUAUUUCUGUUUGGCUGCAAGAAGGAAGAGAUAUAGCAAUACUUCACUUCAAUUUAGAAUGUCCCCUAUCAGUGCUGUGGAGACUGGAAGGCAGCCUGUAAAUAUUUAGCUAGCUGUACACUUCUUUAAUCGGACGGUUCUCUAUAUUUCAUUGCACACUACUAGUAGCUGACAGAAACAUUUAUGCUCCCAUUUUUGUGAUUGUUUCUCAUUAUGAUUUGAUUUCAUUUAGCCUUUUUUCACAAGAUAAUAAAUUUAGACAAAA
Long non-coding RNA from Amphimedon queenslandica, 439 nucleotides. RefSeq lists it as uncharacterized. The transcript has 2 exons. The record is from RefSeq and is a predicted model, not a curated record. Lineage: Eukaryota; Metazoa; Porifera; Demospongiae; Haplosclerida; Niphatidae.